ACCUUUGCAAUGUGCGAAAGCACGACAAGGUUAAUCCGAGUGUCUCCUGCUAAAGGAGUCUUUUGUCAGUUGUAGAAUCACUGGUGAAUAAGGGGUGGGCAAGUUCUGGUGUCAGCCGCCGCGGUAAAACCAGCACCUCGAGUGGUCAGGAGGUUUAUUGGGCCUAAAGCAUCCGUAGCCGGUUGCAUAAGCUUUCGGUUAAAUCUAUGCGCUUAACGUAUAGGCCGCCGAAAAUACUGUGCAGCUAGGGAGUGGGAGAGGUACACGGUACUCGAUAGGAAGGGGUAAAAUCCUUUGAUCUAUUGAAGACCACCUGUGGCGAAGGCGGUGUACCAGAACACGUUCGACGGUGAGGGAUGAAAGCUGGGGGAGCAAACCGGAUUAGAUACCCGGGUAGUCCCAGCCGUAAACGAUGCAGACUCGGUGAUGCAUUGGCUUGUGGCCAAUGCAGUGCCGCAGGGAAGCCGUUAAGUCUGCCGCCUGGGAAGUACGUACGCAAGUAUGAAACUUAAAGGAAUUGGCGGGGGAGCACCACAAGGGGUGAAGCCUGCGGUUCAAUUGAUCAC
RNAcentral lists this ribosomal RNA (566 nucleotides) under uncultured archaeon. RNAcentral's name for it is "bacterial SSU rRNA". It matches the Rfam family "Archaeal small subunit ribosomal RNA", at positions 346 to 913 of the family's 1478-position model. The record is from RNAcentral.